CAUAUUGUGAGCUCGAUGAGUAGGGCGGGACACGUGGUAUCCUGUCUGAAUAUGGGGGGACCAUCCUCCAAGGCUAAAUACUCCUGACUGACCGAUAGUGAACCAGUACCGUGAGGGAAAGGCGAAAAGAACCCCGGCGAGGGGAGUGAAAAAGAACCUGAAACCGUGUACGUACAAGCAGUGGGAGCACGCUUAGGCGUGUGACUGCGUACCUUUUGUAUAAUGGGUCAGCGACUUAUAUUCUGUAGCAAGGUUAACCGAAUAGGGGAGCCGAAGGGAAACCGAGUCUUAACUGGGCGUUAAGUUGCAGGGUAUAGACCCGAAACCCGGUGAUCUAGCCAUGGGCAGGUUGAAGGUUGGGUAACACUAACUGGAGGACCGAACCGACUAAUGUUGAAAAAUUAGCGGAUGACUUGUGGCUGGGGGUGAAAGGCCAAUCAAACCGGGAGAUAGCUGGUUCUCCCCGAAAGCUAUUUAGGUAGCGCCUCGUGAAUUCAUCUCCGGGGGUAGAGCACUGUUUCGGCAAGGGGGUCAUCCCGACUUACCAACCCGAUGCAAACUGCGAAUACCGGAGAAUGUUAUCACGGGAGACACACGGCGGGUGCUAACGUCCGUCGUGAAGAGGGAAACAACCCAGACCGCCAGCUAAGGUCCCAAAGUCAUGGUUAAGUGGGAAACGAUGUGGGAAGGCCCAGACAGCCAGGAUGUUGGCUUAGAAGCAGCCAUCAUUUAAAGAAAGCGUAAUAGCUCACUGGUCGAGUCGGCCUGCGCGGAAGAUGUAACGGGGCUAAACCAUGCACCGAAGCUGCGGCAGCGACGCUGAUGCGUUGUUGGGUAGGGGAGCGUUCUGUAAGCCUGUGAAGGUGUGCUGUGAGGUAUGCUGGAGGUAUCAGAAGUGCGAAUGCUGACAUAAGUAACGAUAAAGCGGGUGAAAAGCCCGCUCGCCGGAAGACCAAGGGUUCCUGUCCAACGUUAAUCGGGGCAGGGUGAGUCGACCCCUAAGGCGAGGCCGAAAGGCGUAGUCGAUGGGAAACAGGUUAAUAUUCCUGUACUUGGUGUUACUGCGAAGGGGGGACGGAGAAGGCUAUGUUGGCCGGGCGACGGUUGUCCCGGUUUAAGCAUGUAGGCUGGUUUUCCAGGCAAAUCCGGAAAACUAAGGCUGAGGCGUGAUGACGAGGCACUACGGUGCUGAAGCAACAAAUGCCCUGCUUCCAGGAAAAGCCUCUAAGCAUCAGGUAACAUCAAAUCGUACCCCAAACCGACACAGGUGGUCAGGUAGAGAAUACCAAGGCGCUUGAGAGAACUCGGGUGAAGGAACUAGGCAAAAUGGUGCCGUAACUUCGGGAGAAGGCACGCUGAUAUGUAGGUGAAGUCCCUCGCGGAUGGAGCUGAAAUCAGUCGAAGAUACCAGCUGGCUGCAACUGUUUAUUAAAAACACAGCACUGUGCAAACACGAAAGUGGACGUAUACGGUGUGACGCCUGCCCGGUGCCGGAAGGUUAAUUGAUGGGGUCAGCGCAAGCGAAGCUCUUGAUCGAAGCCCCGGUAAACGGCGGCCGUAACUAUAACGGUCCUAAGGUAGCGAAAUUCCUUGUCGGGUAAGUUCCGACCUGCACGAAUGGCGUAAUGAUGGCCAGGCUGUCUCCACCCGAGACUCAGUGAAAUUGAACUCGCUGUGAAGAUGCAGUGUACCCGCGGCAAGACGGAAAGACCCCGUGAACCUUUACUAUAGCUUGACACUGAACAUUGAGCCUUGAUGUGUAGGAUAGGUGGGAGGCUUUGAAGUGUGGACGCCAGUCUGCAUGGAGCCGACCUUGAAAUACCACCCUUUAAUGUUUGAUGUUCUAACGUUGACCCGUAAUCCGGGUUGCGGACAGUGUCUGGUGGGUAGUUUGACUGGGGCGGUCUCCUCCUAAAGAGUAACGGAGGAGCACGAAGGUUGGCUAAUCCUGGUCGGACAUCAGGAGGUUAGUGCAAUGGCAUAAGCCAGCUUGACUGCGAGCGUGACGGCGCGAGCAGGUGCGAAAGCAGGUCAUAGUGAUCCGGUGGUUCUGAAUGGAAGGGCCAUCGCUCAACGGAUAAAAGGUACUCCGGGGAUAACAGGCUGAUACCGCCCAAGAGUUCAUAUCGACGGCGGUGUUUGGCACCUCGAUGUCGGCUCAUCACAUCCUGGGGCUGAAGUAGGUCCCAAGGGUAUGGCUGUUCGCCAUUUAAAGUGGUACGCGAGCUGGGUUUAGAACGUCGUGAGACAGUUCGGUCCCUAUCUGCCGUGGGCGCUGGAGAACUGAGGGGGGCUGCUCCUAGUACGAGAGGACCGGAGUGGACGCAUCACUGGUGUUCGGGUUGUCAUGCCAAUGGCACUGCCCGGUAGCUAAAUGCGGAAGAGAUAAGUGCUGAAAGCAUCUAAGCACGAAACUUGCCCCGAGAUGAGUUCUCCCUGACUCCUUGAGAGUCCUGAAGGAACGUUGAAGACGACGACGUUGAUAGGCCGGGUGUGUAAGCGCAGCGAUGCGUUGAGCUAACCGGUACUAAUGAACCGUGAGGCUUAACCUUACAACGCCGAAGGUGUUU
Molecule: ribosomal RNA, 2570 nt
Filed under: Shigella flexneri
Lineage: Bacteria; Pseudomonadati; Pseudomonadota; Gammaproteobacteria; Enterobacterales; Enterobacteriaceae
Description: partial 23S ribosomal RNA
Rfam family: Bacterial large subunit ribosomal RNA
Source: RNAcentral